GACGAACGCUGGCGGCGUGCUUAACACAUGCAAGUCGAACGAAGAGCGACGGAAGCUUGCUUCUAUCAAUCUUAGUGGCGAACGGGUGAGUAACACGUAAUCAACCUGCCCUUCAGAGGGGGACAACAGUUGGAAACGACUGCUAAUACCGCAUACGAUCUAACCUCGGCAUCGAGGAUAGAUGAAAGGUGGCCUCUACAUGUAAGCUAUCACUGAAGGAGGGGAUUGCGUCUGAUUAGCUAGUUGGAGGGGUAACGGCCCACCAAGGCGAUGAUCAGUAGCCGGUCUGAGAGGAUGAACGGCCACAUUGGGACUGGGACACGGCCCAGACUCCUACGGGAGGCAGCAGUGGGGAAUCUUCCGCAAUGGACGAAAGUCUGACGGAGCAACGCCGCGUGAGUGAUGACGGCCUUCGGGUUGUAAAGCUCUGUUAAUCGGGACGAAAGGCCUUCUUGCGAAUAGUGAGAAGGAUUGACGGUACCGGAAUAGAAAGCCACGGCUAACUACGUG
RNAcentral lists this ribosomal RNA (510 nucleotides) under uncultured bacterium. RNAcentral describes it as "partial 16S ribosomal RNA". It matches the Rfam family "Bacterial small subunit ribosomal RNA", at positions 28 to 507 of the family's 1533-position model. The record is from RNAcentral.